Molecule: unclassified non-coding RNA, 335 nt
Filed under: soil metagenome
Description: partial contains 5.8S ribosomal RNA, internal transcribed spacer 2, and large subunit ribosomal RNA
Rfam family: 5.8S ribosomal RNA (bases 1-120)
Source: RNAcentral
GAUGAAGAACGUAGCAAAAUGCGAUAAGUAAUGUGAAUUGCAGAAUUCAGUGAAUCAUCGAAUCUUUGAACGCACAUUGCGCCCGCCAGUAUUCUGGCGGGCAUGCCUGUUCGAGCGUCAUUUCAACCAUCAAGCCCCAGGCUUGUGUUGGGGACCUGCGGCUGCCGCAGGCCCUGAAAACCAGUGGCGGGCUCGCUAGUCACACCGAGCGUAGUAGCAUACACAUCGCUCAGGGCGUGCUGCGGGUUCCGGCCGUUAAACCCCUUUUUUACCCAAGGUUGACCUCGGAUCAGGUAGGAAGACCCGCUGAACUUAAGCAUAUCAUAAGCGGAGGA